CAGUCGCCGCGGUAAUACAGAGGGUGCAAGCGUUAAUCGGAGUUACUGGGCGUAAAGGGUGCGUAGGCGGCUUGACAAGUCUUGUGUGAAAUCUAUGGGCUCAACCCAUAGUCUGCACGGGAAACUGUCGGGCUUGAGAAUGGGAGAGGUGAGUGGAAUUUCCGGUGUAGCGGUGAAAUGCGUAGAUAUCGGAAGGAACACCUGUGGCGAAAGCGGCUCACUGGACCAUUUCUGACGCUGAUGCACGAAAGCUAGGGGAGCAAACAGGAUUAGAUACCCCCGUAGUCCCUGUCUCUUAUAU
RNAcentral lists this ribosomal RNA (301 nucleotides) under uncultured bacterium. Its description in RNAcentral is "partial 16S ribosomal RNA". It matches the Rfam family "Bacterial small subunit ribosomal RNA", at positions 509 to 809 of the family's 1533-position model. The record is from RNAcentral.